AGGGCAGGCCGCCUUAUCGCUGCAUGCUCAGCUUGACUGGGCAUCUCAUUUAUUGGUAUUCUUAUCAAUAAUGAGAUUCCCGCCUUUGCGGGAAUGUUGAGGAAAGUCCGGACACCACAGGGAAGCAUAGCGGCUAACAGCCGUCAUCCCGUUUUAACACGGGAGCGGACCAGUGCAACAGAAAGGAUGUACAGGUAAUGCUGUAGUGAAAUCAGGUAAACUCUAUGCGGUGAAAUGCCACGUAAACCUGCGCUUGAGGGUUCCCGCCCAAUGCAGGAGGGUAGGCAGAUUGAGCAUAUUGGCAACAAUAUGCCUAGAUAAAUGAUAAGGGUCUCGAAUAUCGGGAUACAGAAUCCGGCUUAUAGGCCUGCUUUUUUA
Molecule: RNase P RNA, 378 nt
Filed under: Marixanthomonas spongiae
Lineage: Bacteria; Pseudomonadati; Bacteroidota; Flavobacteriia; Flavobacteriales; Flavobacteriaceae
Description: Marixanthomonas sp. HN-E44 RNase P RNA component class A
Rfam family: Bacterial RNase P class A
About the family: Ribonuclease P (RNase P) is a ubiquitous endoribonuclease, found in archaea, bacteria and eukarya as well as chloroplasts and mitochondria.
Source: RNAcentral